GGUUGUUUCUAAUCUCCUGCUUUUCAGAUGGCCUCCUCCUUGCAAGGACCAAGCUGAACUUGGUCCUAACUUGUUCUAAUGGACUGGAUUGAACGUAAAUGACCUGUGGGAGAGGUAUCAGACUGUAAUGUUUCUAGUACAAAAGUAGGGAGUGACAUAUCUUGUCAUAUCACUGAGCAGGAACUCACAGACUUCUCAGGGCUCUUGGGCUAUUACUUUGUCUGGAGUUUUAAACUGUGCAUCCUGCCUCAAUCUUUGACUCCUGGAAAUCUUAUGAGAAGUUCAAAGUGUACUUCAAAUUGUUAGUGUUUCCAUAUGUAGUUCAGUCUCCAUAGCUGUUAAUGACCCUUUUUCAAGUAUGAAGACAAUUAAUAGUGAUUUUAUUGUUUGAAACCCCCUUGCCACAGCUCUGGUUACCACAGAUAGUUAAAUGCAGGCUUAGCUUCUGUCAUCAAGUCUCUAUCACUAAUGUGUGCUGUUAAGAGGAAGGAGUUGAUGCAAGUGUAUGCAUCAAACCAGUUUGCAGAAGGAAAAUAUUAGUCCAUACGCGUCUAAUUCUAAUACCACAAGUUGAAAUAAGACACAGCAUGGGAUAAGGCAGAAAAAGGGUCCUUUCUGAGAAAUGUACAUAUGUUGUGAACAUGGGUCCCUUUUGCAGACCCUCUGUGUCGUUGCUCCUGCACCAUAGACUGAUCUGUGCAAGGCUGAUUAGAACUUUCAGGAUGUAGGAAAUGUCUGUUAUGUUCAACAAGCAGCUACAGGACUAUCUCAGGGCAGACAUGCUUCAGUGUGGUCUAGCUAGGACAGCUGCAUUUCAUUUCUUAAUUCCUUUGUGCUCUCACUCUGCAGCUGCUUCAUGAUGGACUCCAUUUCUAGACCAGUUACUGAGUUUUGCCUUGAUCUCUACAAAAAGCUCAACAGAAGUGCAGAGGACACAAAUAUUGUCUUCUCUCCAAUGAGCAUCUCUGUUGCCCUGGCCCUGAUCCAUCUUGGUGCAAAAAACAACACUGCUGCUCAGAUAGAAAAAGUGCUCCAUGUCAGGAAAGCUGG
This 1050-nucleotide long non-coding RNA is filed under the name Cyanistes caeruleus (blue tit). Its description in RNAcentral is "lncRNA (ENSCCEG00000008249.1)". The record is from RNAcentral. Lineage: Eukaryota; Metazoa; Chordata; Aves; Passeriformes; Paridae.